GAUGCCUUGGUUUUACGUACCGAAGAAGGACGCACAAGACGUGCGAUACGCGUCGGGGAGCUGUCAAGAAGCUUUGAUCCGGCGAUGUCCGAAUGGGGGAACCCCCCCGCAAUUGCGGGGAUAUCACCCUGAAACUUCCAAUUUAUUGGAACAUAUUGGUGAUAGUGGGAACUACCUGAACUGAAACAUCUAAGUAAGGUAAGGAAAAGAAAACAAUUGCCCCGAUUUAAUCGGGGUUGUGAUUCCGUCAGUAGCGGCGAGCGAAAGCGGAUCAGCCUAAACCCUGUCCGUGGGACAGGAGUAAUAAACCAAUAAAUACCAAUAAACAAAUAACCCAAUUACCAAUUGGUGCACAUUUGUAAUUUGUAUUUAUUUGUAAUUUGUUAUUCCCGCCCUGCGGGUGGGGGGUUGCGGGAGUCCAACGUGGCAGUUUAAUUGAUAGGAGAACGGUCUGGAAUGUCCGGCCAUAGAGAGUGAAAGCCUCGUAAACGAAAUUAAUUAAACGCCUAGGAAUGUCCCAAGUACCACGGUAUACAGAUGCUGUGGGAAUCCGGGGGAACCAUCCUCCAAGGCUAAAUAUACGUAGAAACCGAUAGUGAACUAGUACCGCAAGGGAAAGGUGAAAAGAAGGGUGAGACACCCAGUGAAAUAGAAACUGAAACUGUUUGCGAUCAAACCGUAAGAGCCUGUUCGUAGAACAGGAAUAAUAAGCCAAUAAGUACCAAUAAACAAAUAAUCCAAUGACCAAUCAAGCACAAAACACCUGAUUGAGAAUUGGUAUUUAUUUGCAAUUUGUAUUUAUUUGUAUUUAUUGUUCCCGCUCUGCGAGCGGGUGAUUACGUGCCUAUUGAAGAAUGAGCCGGCGAGUUGUCAUCUAGUGCAAGCUGAAGACGCGAGAGCGUAAGAGGCGUAGCGAAAGCAAGUCUUAAAAGGCGCUUACCUGCGCAAGCAGGAUUAGUACUAUGUGGCAGACCCGAAACCGAGUGAUCUAACCAUGAGCAGGGAGAAGCCCCGCGAAAGCGGGGUGGAAGCCCGAACCCGUCGUUGUUACAAUAACGUGGGAUGACUUGUGGUUAGGGGUAAAAUGCCAAACGAACUCGGAGAUAGCUGGUUCUCCCCGAAAGGUCUAUAGGGACCGUGGUGUGUUAGGUGUUAUUGGUGGUAGAGAUACUGGAUGGGAUAGCGAGGGUAACUGAGUUAUUUCAACCAAACUCCGAAUACCAGUGUACAUUAUCAUACUAGACAGCCACGUCGGGCUAAGCCGACGUGACUAAAGGGAAACAACCCAGACUCACAGCUAAGGUCUUUAAAUCUAUUUUAAGUUUCAAAGGAAGUUAUUUUCCACAGACAGCCAGGAGGUUGGCUCAGAAGCAGCCAUCCUUUAAAGAUAGCGUAACAGCUCACUGGUAAAGGAAAGUAGCACCUAAAAUUUAUCGAGGAUUAAAAAUAGUACCGAAGCUUGAGCCCGCGCAAGUUUUCGCAAGAAAAUUUGUUCGGGGGUAGGGGAGCGUUCCAAUUGCAGUGAAGCUAUGCCGUGAGGCGUGGUGGAGCGAUUGGAAGUGAGAAUGUCGGCAUGAGUAGCGUGCAAUUCCUGUAAGAAUCAGGAACGUCGUACACCCGAGGUUUUCCCGGCGAGGUUCGUCCUCCGGGAGUUAGUCGGUACCUAACCCAAGCCCCGCAACAGCGGGGGUAGGGGAUGGAAGACUGGUUAAUAUUCCAGUAUUUAGUUUGAAUCGAUUUCUGCGCAAGCAGGAUACAGUUGGGGAUUGACGGAGAAGGAUGAUGAGAGCCCAUUCGUGAAGUUGGGUGGAAGCAGUAAGAUAGUUGUCACUGGCAAAUCCAUGACGAUGUUUAAUCGAAUUGUGAUCCAAAGCCGGUCUAAAAACUGGCAAUUUUCAUUUAUUCAUUUCCCCAGAAAAGAUUCGCAACGAGAGUCAAACUAAGCCGUACCUAAACCAACACAGGUGGGUGGGGUGAGUAACCCAAGACGGGCGAGAGAAAAAAGCUUAAGGAACUCGGCAAAAAAACUAGACGUAAGUUCGCAAGAUGUCUUGCCCCGCAAUUGCGGGGUUGCAAUAAAAAUUUAUUAGCCGACUGUUUAUCAAAAACACAGGUCCGUGCAAAAGCGAAUAGCUUAAGUAUACGGGCCGACGCCUGCCCAGUGCUGGUAAGUUAAACGGAUCCNNNNNNNNNNNNNNNNNNNNNNNNNNNNNNNNNNNNNNNNNNNNNNNNNNNNNNNUAACUAUAAGCCGAAAGGCCAGUUGUAGUUAUUAAAUUUGGCUAUAUGCUGGAAACACUCAAGUAUCCGGUAGUAGUCGCCUCAGGCGACUAAAAAUCUAUCCGGUGGAGUCAAUCAGCAGGAAAGAUCCCGAUUUGAUCGGGGAAUCCUCAGAGACUAUACGCCAAAGUACAUUCAGUUAAUAUGAACGUACAUGAUAUAGUCCGACCUUUACAGCGAUGUAAAGACUACGUAUUUAAUCGUAGCGAGCAACAAAAAUGAACUGUUCUACGGUAAGGGCUAUAAAUACUGCCGUAGUAAAAUCUAUCUAUAUGCUGGAAACACUCAAGUAUCCGGUAGUAGUCGCCUCAGGCGACUGAAAAUCUAUCCGGUGGAGUCAAUCAGCAGGAAAGACCUCGUAAUAAUUAUUAAUUACUAAUUAUUCUAAUUUGUCAUCCUCGCGAAGGCGGGGAUCCAGACUGGAUUCCCGAUCAGGUCGGGAAUGACACAAACUUAGAUUAAAUUGAUUGAUAUGUUUAUGAGGAAUCCUCAGAGACUACACGAUAGACCCCCGCAACUGCGGGGUGAAGAUAUAGUCCAAAACUCACAAUGCAAAUACAUUGGAUUUUGAGCGAAGCCCCUCGUCGGGUAAGGAAUUUGCCCGAAUAAAACCAACUUAUAUCGGUGAAAGCUAUAGUCACAAUCAUGUGAACUGGUUGUGAUAUGCUAAUACCGAGGGAAGUCGGGGAGUGCCAUCUGGUACCCCCUUGACCCUGUAACGACUGAUCCGAAAGGAGAGAUCCGCCUCAGGCGGAUAAUACGUUGGCGCUUGUUUAAACAGUCAAUUAUGGAGUUUGCGUCAUAUAUUUCUGGUUUUACUGACGGAGAAGGAACUUUUUCCAUCUCUUUCAGUUUACGCAAGAAAUUUACUUUGGGUUUAGAAGUUAGACCAAGCUUUUCUAUUUCUCAACACAAAAGAAACCUGGAAACAUUAAAAAGUAUCCAGAAGUAUUUUGGCGUUGGGGCAAUUAGGUUCUCUAAAAGAGACCAAAAUUACAAAUAUGAAGUAAGGUCGAUUUCUGACAUUGUCAAAAGGAUAAUCCCUCAUUUUGAGAGAUAUCCCUUGAAGACGACAAAAGCAAACGAUUUUCGGAUUUUUAAGAAGAUUUGCAAGGAAAUUACUUUAGGCAACCACCUCAAAAGUGGUCACUUAAAAGGAAUUAUUACCCAAGCUUAUCGGAUGAAUGAAUCCGGGAAAAGAAAAUAUGAGAUAUCGUAUCUCCUAAAAUUGAUAACAAGAUGAAGAUAUAGUCUGAACAGUUGCGAAAGCAACUGACAACAUGUAUUUCGAAGUUCCGACCUGCAUGAAUGGCGUCACGAGCUAAUAACUGUCUUGAGCUUUUACUCGGCGAAAUUGCGAUGGCUGUGAAGACGCGGCCUAUUUCCACUUGGACAAAAAGACCCCGUGGAGCUUUACUGUAAGUAAGUUGUGACUUGCUCGUUUUAUAUGUCUAGAGUAGGAGGGACCCCGCAAUUGCGGGGGAAAGUGUAACACCUCUCUUUGGAACGCUGUAAGUCUUACCUGAGUCGCCUGCAUACGGCGACGGGGAAACAGCUUGCCGGGCAGUUUUACUGGGGCGGUACCCUGCUAAAAGGUAACGCAGGGGCACAAAGGUUGGCUUGCGAUCGAUGGAAACGAUCGUGUAAGCGUAAAGGUAUAUGCCAGCUUGAUUGCGAGAGCGACAGCUCAAGCAAGUACGAAAGUAGGUCUUAGUGAUCCUCCGAUACCAUGUGGGUGGUACGGAGCUUAACGGAUAAAAGCUACCCCGGGGAUAACAGAGUAGUCACGCCCGAGCGUCCAUAGCGACGGCGUGGAUCGCUACCUCGAUGUCGGCUUGACCCAAUUUGGGUCCGGGCCCUCAGGAGAGAGAUCUCUUGAGCAAAUUCGGCUUUCAGAUGAAAUCUG
Non-coding RNA from Candidatus Woesebacteria bacterium, 4184 nucleotides. The record is from Rfam. NCBI's taxonomy places the organism in Bacteria, Candidatus Woeseibacteriota.